ACUCCUACGGGAGGCAGCAGUGGGAAUCUUGGACAAUGGGGGAAACCCUGAUCCAGCCAUGCCGCGUGAGCGAUGAAGGCCUUAGGGUUGUAAAGCUCUUUCAGGUGGGAAGAUAAUGACGGUACCACCAGAGAAGUACCCCGCUAACNCCUGUGCCAGCAGCCGCGGUAAUAACGGAGGGGGCUAGCGUUGUUCGGAAUUACUGGGCGUAAAGCGCACGUAGGCGGAUUGGAAAGUUGGGGGUGAAAUCCCGGGGCUCAACCCCGGAACGGCCUUCAAAACUCCCAGUCUAGAGGUCGAGAGAGGUGAGUGGAAUUCCGAG
RNAcentral lists this ribosomal RNA (322 nucleotides) under uncultured bacterium. RNAcentral describes it as "bacterial SSU rRNA". It matches the Rfam family "Bacterial small subunit ribosomal RNA", at positions 335 to 673 of the family's 1533-position model. The record is from RNAcentral.